RNAcentral lists this ribosomal RNA (778 nucleotides) under uncultured Neocallimastigales. RNAcentral's name for it is "partial large subunit ribosomal RNA". It matches the Rfam family "Eukaryotic large subunit ribosomal RNA", at positions 23 to 639 of the family's 3401-position model. Lineage: Eukaryota; Fungi; Neocallimastigomycota; Neocallimastigomycetes; Neocallimastigales. The record is from RNAcentral.
AGAGAGAGACAUGCGCGCAUAUCAAUAAGCGGAGGAAAAGAAACUAACUAGGAUUCCCCUCAGUAACGGCGAGUGAAGCGGGAAGAGCUCAAAUUUGAAAUCUUCAAGGGUUCUACCUUUACGAAUUGUAGUUUAAAGAAGUGUUUUCUGUUGGAGGUUUUGGUAAAAGUUCUUUGGAAUAGGACAUCAUAGAGGGUGAGAAUCCCGUAUUUGACCAUUACUUUCAGCUUUGUGAUACACUUUCAAAGAGUCGGAUUGUUUGGGAAUGCAGUCCAAAAUGGGUGGUAAAUUUCAUCUAAAGCUAAAUAUUGGCGAGAGACCGAUAGCGAACAAGUACCGUGAGGGAAAGAUGAAAAGAACUUUGAAAAGAGAGUUAAACAGUACGUGAGAUUGUCAAAAGGGAAGCGUUUGACACCAGUGUUGUUUUCUCGAAAAUCAAUUAAAAAAGGCAGGAUUUUGUGUUGUAUUGACUUUAUCAGCUUUCUGCACUCUUUUCUUGUCUUUUUUAAUGCACUUUUCGUUUAACAAGUCAACAUCAAUUUCUUUUGUUGUAAAAGGGUCAUUGGAAGGUGGCUUUCUUUUCGGAGAAAGUGUUUAUAGCCUUUGGCCUCUGCAAUCGGAGAGAUUGAGGUCUGCAGCGUAGAUCCUUCGGGGUUAGAUACAUUUGUGCUAAGUUAUAGCCUUUUCAUAGACAACUUGUUGACUAUGAUCAGUCAUGUAGCUUACUCGCUUAUGCUAUUUUACCUACGCUUAGGAUGUUGAUGUGAUACUGCGAGCA